RNAcentral lists this long non-coding RNA (1445 nucleotides) under Pan troglodytes (chimpanzee). Its description in RNAcentral is "lincRNA". Lineage: Eukaryota; Metazoa; Chordata; Mammalia; Primates; Hominidae. The record is from RNAcentral.
GAGAAGUAGGCAAAUGAUGCGGCUGAACAAUGCCUCCUUGACUUCAGGGUAUAAAAACUACUUUCAUGAGCUUCAAGUCAGGGUAAUGGUGCUCAGAAAAAGAAGCCAAUCAGGAGAUCUGUUUUCUGUGCCCUUUUAAUACUUCUAACUCAGGCACCCAAACCAGCCUGUAGCAGAAAGAGCAUCAAAGCCAUCCUCUGGACUCUACACAAGCCUUUGUCCUAUGUCUGGAGACUUCUUGGAAGCUGGAGCACACAAAUAGCUACAGCAAACUUGAGGAAUGGGCAUGAAUAGACUGGCUUCGGGGAACCUGCCAGCUUGGCCGUGUGGCCAAGGUAAUAGGCAAGCCAAGGCACAGCUAGAGCUCAGAGCUGGAGGGGAAAUUAAAGCAGCAAAUGUAGAAACAUUAAGCCUGAAGAGGCGACAACGUUGAAUUCUAAAAUGCAGGCCAAAGCUCAGACUGCAAGCUGUCUGGCUGCUCCGGGUGUGCCCAGAAGUCAAAGUCCAGCAGGGGCAAAGGUGGAGGUGUGGUCCUGCAUGUGGGGUGUUGGGGGGAUGUGGAAGAGGAGGUGCUUUAAGAUCCAAAGAUUCCAGCUGCCCUGAUCUACCCUUGGAAGAAUAAAAGGCUAGGAACUGGACAAGUCAGGCUCAAGUCCAAGCUGCCUAAGGAAUCAGGGAAAGAAUGGAGCUAAGAGUGGGAGGUCAGGGCAGUAUCUAAAAAUCCAGGAUAGCAGCAAAGCUGGCGGUGGCCCCUGACUCUGGUAAGGGCAGCCUGCAGCACCAUGCCAAGGGGGGCCUGACUGAUCAUGCCCUGCAUUUGCAAACAAGGAUUAGUAGGGUAUGAGUAGGAUUCUGCUGGUGCCUGGGAAGGCAAUGCCAUCUACAUCUUUACAAAGUUUUAACAAAGGCCUGAAGGACACAACCUUCCCCAAAGUCCUGACGUCGCUGUUUGCUGGCAACAAAUAGAGUCAAAAGAAGAGAGGCACAGAAUGUGCCACGGGUGUGCUGCAUACAGCCCCGAUGACCACAAGGCCUUCUUGGGUCAAGUUCUGCCAUCUCUGGUUAAGAUGGGCUCACCCUCUAGGACCUUGAUUGAGUCCUCAGACCACCAAGAGUGCCCCACCAAGAGCCUCCCUCUUCUGGUGACUCGUGCCUGCUUCCCGUGGAGAGCUCCAGAAGGGAGGAAACUGUGAGGAGGUGGAGAACGUGGCAGGGAUCCUAACUUUCUUACUGAAGGAAGUUCUUAACAAGUACCCAUCUGCCUUCAGGGAAGAAAACAUAACUCAUUUUGGUCUUUCAAAUUCAGUUCUCAAAACCAAAUCCUGUUGUCAGCAAUCUGUGUCCCAACGCCUUCUUCAGCAACAGCAUUUUCCCUGUGGAAUUAGUUUCCAAUGUUCUUUCUUAAAUAAACCACUGAAGAUUAAAAGGAAUCCAGAUACCCACCA